Molecule: ribosomal RNA, 343 nt
Filed under: uncultured bacterium
Lineage: Bacteria
Description: SSU rRNA
Rfam family: Bacterial small subunit ribosomal RNA
Source: RNAcentral
AGAGUGAACGCUGGCGGCGUGGCUAAGACAUGCAAGUCGAGCGGCAAGGCAGCAAUGCCCUAGAGCGGCGAACGGGUGCGUAACACGUGAACAACCUUCCUUCAAGUUGGGGAUAGCCCCGGGAAACUGGGAUUAAUACCGAAUGUGGACUUCUGCGGCAUCGCAGGAUAUCCAAAGCUUGUAACGGCGCUUGAAGAGGGGUUCGCGGCCUAUCAGCUAGUUGGCGGGGUAACGGCCCACCAAGGCGAAGACGGGUAACCGGUCUGAGAGGAUGAUCGGUCACACUGGAACUGAGACACGGUCCAGACACCUACGGUGGCAGCAGUUUCGAAUCAUUCACAAU